RNAcentral lists this unclassified non-coding RNA (249 nucleotides) under uncultured Eurotiomycetes. RNAcentral's name for it is "sequence contains 5.8S rRNA gene, ITS2, 28S rRNA gene". The stretch from base 1 to 52 matches the Rfam family "5.8S ribosomal RNA", at positions 103 to 154 of the family's 154-position model. The record is from RNAcentral. Lineage: Eukaryota; Fungi; Ascomycota; Eurotiomycetes.
AACGCAUAUUGCGCCCUCUGGUAUUCCGGGGGGCAUGCCUGUUCGAGCGUCAUUACUACCUUCAAGCUCGGCUUGUGUGUUGAGCAUCUGUUUAUAUGAACAGGCUUGAAAUGCAGUGGCGGUGUCGGGUUUGGAGCCCGAGCGUAUGGGGCUUCGUCAAACGCUCUGGUGGCCCAGCUCACACUGUCGGUUAUAUGUUACCACAGUUUGAUUGACCUCGGAUCAGGCAGGGUUACCCGCUGAACUUAA